RNAcentral lists this transfer RNA (70 nucleotides) under Fritziana goeldii (Goeldi's frog). Its description in RNAcentral is "partial tRNA-Val". It matches the Rfam family "tRNA". Rfam says of the family: Transfer RNA (tRNA) molecules are approximately 80 nucleotides in length. Their secondary structure includes four short double-helical elements and three loops (D, anti-codon, and T loops). Further hydrogen bonds mediate the characteristic L-shaped molecular structure. tRNAs have two regions of fundamental functional importance: the anti-codon, which is responsible for specific mRNA codon recognition, and the 3' end, to which the tRNAs corresponding amino acid is attached (by aminoacyl-tRNA synthetases). tRNAs cope with the degeneracy of the genetic code in two manners: having more than one tRNA (with a specific anti-codon) for a particular amino acid; and 'wobble' base-pairing, i.e. permitting non-standard base-pairing at the 3rd anti-codon position. The record is from RNAcentral. Lineage: Eukaryota; Metazoa; Chordata; Amphibia; Anura; Hemiphractidae. RNAcentral also lists the same sequence under 1 other name.
CGUAGUAUAGCUUAAUCUAAAGCCCCCCGCUUACACCGAGGAAACAUCUGUUAGACUCAGAUUACUCCGA